GCUUAACACAUGCAAGUCGAGCGGUAAGGCCUUUCGGGGUACACGAGCGGCGAACGGGUGAGUAACACGUGGGUGAUCUGCCCUGCACUUCGGGAUAAGCCUGGGAAACUGGGUCUAAUACCGGAUAUGACCUCAGGUUGCAUGACUUGGGGUGGAAAGAUUUAUCGGUGCAGGAUGGGCCCGCGGCCUAUCAGCUUGUUGGUGGGGUAAUGGCCUACCAAGGCGACGACGGGUAGCCGACCUGAGAGGGUGACCGGCCACACUGGGACUGAGACACGGCCCAGACUCCUACGGGAGGCAGCAGUGGGGAAUAUUGCACAAUGGGCGAAAGCCUGAUGCAGCGACGCCGCGUGAGGGAUGACGGCCUUCGGGUUGUAAACCUCUUUCAGCAGGGACGAAGCGCAAGUGACGGUACCUGCAGAAGAAGCACCGGCUAACUACGUGCCAGCAGCCGCGGUAAUACGUAGGGUGCAAGCGUUGUCCGGAAUUACUGGGCGUAAAGAGUUCGUAGGCGGUUUGUCGCGUCGUUUGUGAAAACCAGCAGCUCAACUGCUGGCUUGCAGGCGAUACGGGCAGACUUGAGUACUGCAGGGGAGACUGGAAUUC
RNAcentral lists this ribosomal RNA (606 nucleotides) under Rhodococcus erythropolis. RNAcentral describes it as "bacterial SSU rRNA". It matches the Rfam family "Bacterial small subunit ribosomal RNA", at positions 46 to 669 of the family's 1533-position model. The record is from RNAcentral. Lineage: Bacteria; Bacillati; Actinomycetota; Actinomycetes; Mycobacteriales; Nocardiaceae.